This is a long non-coding RNA of Cercocebus atys (sooty mangabey), 2828 nucleotides long. RefSeq lists it as uncharacterized. The transcript has 2 exons. The record is from RefSeq and is a predicted model, not a curated record. Lineage: Eukaryota; Metazoa; Chordata; Mammalia; Primates; Cercopithecidae.
UCAAUGCUCAGCUCAAAUGUCACUUCCCCUGAGAAGCAUUCCCUGAGGCUUCCCCUCCCCAUACACAUUAGAUCAGAUAAAGCUCUUGUAAUAUUAUUGCAGAACAUCCUAUUCUUUUGCUUCAGGGCCUUUAUCACAAUUGAUAAUUAUAUACUUCCUUUUACUUAUGGAAUUAAUUCCCAGUCUCUCUCUGUAGAUUACAUGCUGUGUCUGUUUCACUUGCCAUUGUAUCUCUAAUGCCUACUACAAGUGCCUGGCAGGCGGCAGACAUGACUGCUUGUGAAUGAAUGAAUGUUCUCAGUGAUUCUGUAAGGAUGAAGGUGAUGUAUAGUAGUAGAUAGUAGCUCUGCUCUGGAAGUCCAGAGUCUGAUUCACACCUGCAAGCCUUAUUGGUCAAUGACUACUGAUAUUCCAGCCACCCAAACAACUGCUUUCAGAGAAGCAUUAAUACCUGUGAAUAAAACAAAUCUACUCUUUUCGUAUGUUUGGUUCAGAACACUAGGGGAAUUUGAGAAGAAAUGAGCCAGCCCCCAAGCUGUCCUGGUUUCUUUUAUUAAGAAUAGGCCAUGAUUUGAGCACAUUCUACUACUUGUCUCACUUCUGCCUAUUGCUGGGGAUUACACAGGGAAAAGUGAGAGUCUGUGUGUUGGGACUCUGACUUGGCAGUGAGAUUUAACACAGAAAGACCCUGAAGAAAUAUGCUGACAAUGGGGUUUUAUCUCUUCAAUGCACUGGAGACAAAACCCCUGCUUUUAAAAACAACAUUCAUACAGAGCCAAGGAUGUCCCAGUGUCAACAGUCCUAACCCUUUCUCAGUCUGCCUAAGAGGUCGUUGGUUUCAGAUGGAUGAGCCAAGGACCUGCUACUUAGAGACUACUGUCUAGGUCAACCCAGCUGGCAUAAGUAAAUCACCUACUGUUUAUAGUAGGAGGCUGCAAGAUAACAGGAGAUGCAGACUAUUGAAGGCUACUGAUCUAUCUACGUAGACAGGCAAGAAAAAAACAACCGGAGAAGAAUUCCAUGACUACACAAAAAGAAGAGUGUGAUGGUAUGGAGACUAUUCCUGAACAGUGAAUUUCCCCUGCAUUAAGAAUGAGAUCCCUAUGAACUGGGAUCAUUCAGGAAGUCUUCUUGGAGAAGAAAAGUUUGAGCAUUUUGGGAAAAAAAGUUGGAUUGGCAAAGAGAGCUGAGCUGUCAGUAGCUGGGCCCAUAGUAAGUAGGCUGCCUGGAGCUGGGAGUUAUGCUAAAGGAGUUGUAAUUUGGGAUGCCUCUAAUUAACCAUUUUGGGAAAAACAUAAUAAAUCCCUUUGUAGCAUCUAUAAUAAACUGCCCAAUAUCUAGGUCGUGGGGAAAAAGUUUUAUUCUGCAUUUCACCUGGAUGGUGAUAACACCAGAUAAUCUCAGCAUCUUUCUGAUUCUCUUGCUAAUCCAGGAUUCUAAGUAAUAAUCACUUUGUUCUACAACCUGAAUCUAGCCCUUGUACUGUGCAGUUUUUUUUUUACAGUUAUUUUUCCUGUUGUCUGAAUCAAUCUCCAUGGAAACAUAAGUUUUAACCAGCUGUGUCCACUGAGGUAAAGAUGCAAUAAAAGGCACAGGGCAUACAUACCACAGCAGCAGUUACUUCCCACAGGGAACCAGAGAUUGGAAGUGAAGCUAAAACAUUUUCACUUACAAUAGCAUCUCUUUCAAGGUGAGCCAUUUCCCCAGGGAGAGUUUCUAGCUCUGAGCAAAGGCAGAACAAUAAAACAUCAAGGAUGUCUUUCUAAGGCUACAAACAGAGUAGCUAACACCUUGAAGUUGAUCUGCUUCUGAGUCCUUUAAAAGCCAGGACAGCAACAAAGUGCCCACACUACAUUUUCUAUAAGCUUGCUAAGCAUCUCUUUUCUUAAACCACAAAACCCUAGGUAUUUGUACAGAACAGGCAGAAAGGGAAGUCCUAGGAGAUCAGGACCCUGUCUCAGCAGGCAUCACUCCAGCCUAUCUUUUCCUGAGUGGUUUUCUGUACUUGUCUUCCAUCUUUUCCCUUCUGUCCCACUCUGGAAGUCACUAGUCUGUGCCUUCCUUACCUCCCAUGGUUUCUGCACCUUCAUUUCCAAAGGCAAGUGAAAACAGUGCCAGGCUGUGCACAUGGGUAACUCCAGGGACUUCUCCUCCUCCCAUUUCCCCUAAAGCAUUUGACAGUUAGACCUUGGAACUGAGUCCAGCAGCACUAGGUCAGAGUGAUGGCUAAAGCUAAAGGCAAACUGGAUUCUGUUCAGGAGGUUCUCCUUUGUCAUUUUUAUCUCCAGAUAGAAGACCUCUGUCUUCCCAGAAGAUUAAAUAAUAGAAAAGAAUAAUAGCCCAAGGUGGGUGAUUCUGCAAACAGGUGGGUGAGGUCUCUAGCUGAGUGAGGAGGUGUCUGUGGGUUGUGGGUUCUUCUUAUGAGCAGGGCUUGGAGGAAUUUGGUCUAUUUGUUGUGGUUUUCCCAGGGGGAAGUGGGGAAUGGCUGGGACUCUAAUGAUCAUUAUCAGAAGACUUUGGAUUAGGCCUCUGAAACAUUAAGAUGUGAAUCCUCUGGCAAUCCUGCUAAAAUGCAGAUCUCCUUUCAAUAGGUCUGGGAUGGAGCCUGCCUUUCUAUCAAGCUUCUGGUGAUGGGAUGUCGCUUGUCUCAUCCACAAUUUGAGUAGCAAGAGGGAACAUGAAGGAGAACCCAUCUCUGCUGCUUUUGAAGUGCAGUGGCUUUCACUUGGAAUGGAAAUCUUUAUAGGUGGCACCGGGGGCUGUGCAGAGACGACCAGGGAGAAAUUCCGGACUUCUCAUGUUCUGCCUCUGAGACAGACUGUGGUGGG